This 324-nucleotide unclassified non-coding RNA is filed under the name Hevea brasiliensis (rubber tree). The record is from RNAcentral. Lineage: Eukaryota; Viridiplantae; Streptophyta; Magnoliopsida; Malpighiales; Euphorbiaceae.
GAUAAAGCAUGUAUCAAGAGGCUUCAAAAGGAAUAUAGAGCUCUUUGUAAAGAGCCUGUUUCACACAUCGUUGCUCGUCCUGCUCCCAGCGACAUUCUUGAGUGGCAUUAUGUUCUGGAGGGAAGUGAGGGAACUCCUUUUGCGGGAGGGUUCUACCAUGGAAAAAUUAAAUUUCCUCCAGAGUACCCAUUCAAACCUCCGGGAAUCAGCAUGAUCACCCCAAAUGGUCGGUUCAUGACACAGAAGAAAAUUUGCUUAUCUAUGAGUGACUUUCACCCAGAAAGUUGGAAUCCUAUGUGGUCCGUGUCCAGCAUACUAACCGGG